RNAcentral lists this ribosomal RNA (1472 nucleotides) under Leuconostoc mesenteroides subsp. mesenteroides. RNAcentral's name for it is "bacterial SSU rRNA". It matches the Rfam family "Bacterial small subunit ribosomal RNA". The record is from RNAcentral. Lineage: Bacteria; Bacillati; Bacillota; Bacilli; Lactobacillales; Lactobacillaceae.
GAACGCUGGCGGCGUGCCUAAUACAUGCAAGUCGAACGCACAGCGAAAGGUGCUUGCACCUUUCAAGUGAGUGGCGAACGGGUGAGUAACACGUGGACAACCUGCCUCAAGGCUGGGGAUAACAUUUGGAAACAGAUGCUAAUACCGAAUAAAACUUAGUGUCGCAUGACACAAAGUUAAAAGGCGCUUCGGCGUCACCUAGAGAUGGAUCCGCGGUGCAUUAGUUAGUUGGUGGGGUAAAGGCCUACCAAGACAAUGAUGCAUAGCCGAGUUGAGAGACUGAUCGGCCACAUUGGGACUGAGACACGGCCCAAACUCCUACGGGAGGCUGCAGUAGGGAAUCUUCCACAAUGGGCGAAAGCCUGAUGGAGCAACGCCGCGUGUGUGAUGAAGGCUUUCGGGUCGUAAAGCACUGUUGUAUGGGAAGAACAGCUAGAAUAGGAAAUGAUUUUAGUUUGACGGUACCAUACCAGAAAGGGACGGCUAAAUACGUGCCAGCAGCCGCGGUAAUACGUAUGUCCCGAGCGUUAUCCGGAUUUAUUGGGCGUAAAGCGAGCGCAGACGGUUUAUUAAGUCUGAUGUGAAAGCCCGGAGCUCAACUUCGGAAUGGCAUUGGAAACUGGUUAACUUGAGUGCAGUAGAGGUAAGUGGAACUCCAUGUGUAGCGGUGGAAUGCGUAGAUAUAUGGAAGAACACCAGUGGCGAAGGCGGCUUACUGGACUGCAACUGACGUUGAGGCUCGAAAGUGUGGGUAGCAAACAGGAUUAGAUACCCUGGUAGUCCACACCGUAAACGAUGAACACUAGGUGUUAGGAGGUUUCCGCCUCUUAGUGCCGAAGCUAACGCAUUAAGUGUUCCGCCUGGGGAGUACGACCGCAAGGUUGAAACUCAAAGGAAUUGACGGGGACCCGCACAAGCGGUGGAGCAUGUGGUUUAAUUCGAAGCAACGCGAAGAACCUUACCAGGUCUUGACAUCCUUUGAAGCUUUUAGAGAUAGAAGUGUUCUCUUCGGAGACAAAGUGACAGGUGGUGCAUGGUCGUCGUCAGCUCGUGUCGUGAGAUGUUGGGUUAAGUCCCGCAACGAGCGCAACCCUUAUUGUUAGUUGCCAGCAUUCAGAUGGGCACUCUAGCGAGACUGCCGGUGACAAACCGGAGGAAGGCGGGGACGACGUCAGAUCAUCAUGCCCCUUAUGACCUGGGCUACACACGUGCUACAAUGGCGUAUACAACGAGUUGCCAACCCGCGAGGGUGAGCUAAUCUCUUAAAGUACGUCUCAGUUCGGAUUGUAGUCUGCAACUCGACUACAUGAAGUCGGAAUCGCUAGUAAUCGCGGAUCAGCACGCCGCGGUGAAUACGUUCCCGGGUCUUGUACACACCGCCCGUCACACCAUGGGAGUUUGUAAUGCCCAAAGCCGGUGGCCUAACCUUUCAGGAAGGAGCCGUCUAAGGCAGGACAGAUGACUGGGGUGAA